GGAUGCGAUCAUACCAGCACUAAAGCACCGGAUCCCAUCAGCACUCCGAAGU
Triticum aestivum (bread wheat) is the source of this 52-nucleotide non-coding RNA. The record is from Rfam. NCBI's taxonomy places the organism in Eukaryota, Viridiplantae, Streptophyta, Magnoliopsida, Poales, Poaceae.